GAUGAACGCUGGCGGCGUGCCUAAUACAUGCAAGUCGAGCGAACAGACGAGGAGCUUGCUCCUCUGACGUUAGCGGCGGACGGGUGAGUAACACGUGGAUAACCUACCUAUAAGACUGGGAUAACUUCGGGAAACCGGAGCUAAUACCGGAUAAUAUAUUGAACCGCAUGGUUCAAUAGUGAAAGACGGUUUUGCUGUCACUUAUAGAUGGAUCCGCGCCGCAUUAGCUAGUUGGUAAGGUAACGGCUUACCAAGGCAACGAUGCGUAGCCGACCUGAGAGGGUGCUCGGCCACACUGGAACUGAGACACGGUCCAGACUCCUACGGGAGGCAGCAGUAGGGAAUCUUCCGCAGUGGUCGAAAGCUUGACGGAGCAACGCCGCGUGAGUGAUGAAGGUCUUCGGAUCGUAAAACUCUGUUAUUAGGGAAGAACAAAUGUGUAAGUAACUAUGCACGUCUUGACGGUACCUAAUCAGAAAGCCACGGCUAACUACGUG
RNAcentral lists this ribosomal RNA (497 nucleotides) under uncultured bacterium. RNAcentral describes it as "partial 16S ribosomal RNA". It matches the Rfam family "Bacterial small subunit ribosomal RNA", at positions 28 to 507 of the family's 1533-position model. The record is from RNAcentral.